UUCUCAAGGCCAUGUCUACCAAACAAGUAACAUGAGUUCUCUAACUUUACUGUCUCACAGCAGAAAUAGUGCCUGUGAAUGCAAUGGUUUUUACUUGGACAAAUCACAUACACCAAGUUUCCAGAAGAUCCUCCUUGCUGCCACUGCACUCCAUCCACACCCUGCAGGCAGCUCACAAUGACAGACCUUGAGCCAAAUACUGCCAGAAAAACAGCACAGCCAUGACUGUGCCAUACCUAUCUCUCAGCCAGUAAUCCUUGCCUUGGUUUAGCUUCUCCCUCAUUUUUAGCGUAUGUUUACACAAGGGCUGAUAGAGCUCAGGAGCUAGAGUGACAAAGACCCUGUGAAUAUUUGACUCACAGACAACUGUCAGCGUUCAAUGGGCUGGAUUAAGACGGAGCAUAGAACCAAGCACACUUUGACAUGUUGACAUGUUCUACUAAAGUGCAUUUCAAGGUGGAUUUAACCCGUUUGCUCCAUUGUGGAGCAACAGAGGAGACACAAUUGCCAAAUGGGGCCGAGCAUUCUUGAGAGUGGUUGAACUUUCCUCCCUCUGUCUGGAGAAGGACUGACACCGGCUUCGUUCUCAGGGUCCUACAGUUUGUGGCCAGGUGACAUCAGGCCUGCACUCGCCCGUUCUGGAUUUUAGUGCAGGUCAUCAUUAGCUGGCCGACCUGAAAGUUGAGCCCUGACCCCCACUCGCACACUGCUGCACCGUGGAGCACAGCUGAGGCUUAAAGGGCAAAUAUUUGACCUCAAUAUCAAUACUAAACAGGAAUCAAUCAAGAGA
Molecule: long non-coding RNA, 790 nt
Organism: Girardinichthys multiradiatus
Lineage: Eukaryota; Metazoa; Chordata; Actinopteri; Cyprinodontiformes; Goodeidae
Exons: 4
Source: RefSeq, a predicted model, not a curated record